GGGUGGGGAGGCCUGCGGGGCGACGCCCGGGGCGCCGGACAUCUGUCUGAGAAGUUCAGCAGAGAAGGGCGGUUGACGGUCUUUAGGGAUAGCUUUUGCCCUCCUGUCGGUUCACAACAGCUCCAAAGGCGGAGAGUAAAAUCCUUCCUCUCCCGGCCUCGGCGCUUCGCGAAGCCGGGGAGAUGGAGCUCGAGUCCGGUCCGGGUCCGCGCAGCCAGCGGCAGUCCCAGCCGCAACCUUUUCCUAACGCUUCCUGGAAGCUUAAAAGUAUAUGGGUGUACAUAUGUUCCCCCACAUAUAUAUACCUAUGGCUGAUUCAUAUUGAUGUAUGUCAGAGGCCAAGACAAUAUUGUAAAGCAAUUAUCCUCUAAUUAAAAAAAUAACUAUAUGGGUGGAGGGUGAGACAUGGGUCGUUUGAUAAUCUGGUGAAAUUAAGGGAACUAAAGCUCGGCAAACAAUUUCCAACCUGUGGGAGUGAAUGCUCAGUGUUCAGUUGAAAUACAACUCGAGUUUUUAAAGCAUGGUGUGGUUUGUAACAGCUGAAGGGCUCGCAGUGUUUUCUCUUAAAAGUUACCCAUUUGUACUGAUUACUCUUUCCUAAUUUGUACCAAAACCAAGGACCCACGCUCACCGCCGCCAGAAAGUCACCCGAAGAGGGAAGGCUCUCGCCUGAAGUGGGGGUGAAAACGAACAUGCUUACUAUUUGCGACUUCACUGGGAGUCAGAAUAGUAACUAAGUUUUUUGGAAACCUGUUAGAUCCGUUGUUGUUGUUGUUGUUGUUGUUAUUGUUUAGUAGCUAAGUCGUAGUGGACUCUGGAACCCCAUGGACUGUAGCCUGUCAGGCUCCUCUGUCCAUGGGAUGUCCCAGGCAAGAAUACUGGAGUGGGCUGCCAUUCCCUUCCCCAGGGGAUCUUCGCUGCCCAGAGAUUGAACUCCUGGUUUCUGCCUUCUGGUCUGGUUUCUCCCUUUGGUCUCUCCUUCUGGUUUCUGCCGUUGCCAGGAAGAGUGAGCUUCCCUUGUGGCUCAGCUGGUAAAGAAUCCGCCCGCAGUGCAGAAGACCUGGGUUUGAUCCCUAGGUUGGGAAGAUCCUCUGGAGAAAGGAAAGGCUACCCACUCCAGUAUUCUGGCCUGGAGAAUUGCAUGGGCUGUAUAGUCCAUGGGGUCCCAAAGAGUCGGAUACGACUGAGUGGCUUUCACUUUUCACUUUCACGAGGAAGACUAGUAAAACCUGAGCUUGAGUUCUAGGACUUUUAGGAAAUAUUGGUAUCUCCCAUAUGUUUGCUGUAAUGUAGUAAAGACAAUCAUUAGGCAAUAGCAGGGAUCAAAUUACAGUGAAUAAAAAUAGUCGUAAAUAGGUUCCUAAUUAUAAUAUUACAAUUAGUGUCUGGAGCCGAAAUCCCAGGCCCCCGCAUAUGAUUUGCAUAAUUGCAUGCCUGUGGGAGGGAUUAGACCUUCCUCUGUUAUUUGUUGAUUCUUACUGAAUAUGGAACAAUAAAAAAUGAAUUAAGUCUUCCUUAUCAUCUUUAUUAUUCUUAUUUAGACUAAAAGACAGCCACUUUUAUCCCAGAGUAAUUGUAGAUCCAAGAAAAGUCAAUUACAGAAACUAGAACUGAAGGCUGAGGGAGAGAGGCUGCUGGAAAGAACAUGUAAGCAGACAAAUCUGGUUUUAGAUCUUAGCUCCUGAAUAACAUAAUGAUAGAAUCUGGGAGAAGCUUCUUCCUUUAAGCCAGGAGCUGAGCAUUAGAACAGUGUUUUGUGGUGGGUUUUCCAGGCAAGAAUACUGGAGUGGGUUGCCAUGCCCUCCCUCCUCCAGGGAAUCUUCCCAACCCAGAGAUUGAACCCACAUCUCCUGCACUGCAGGCGGACCUUCUGAGCCACCAGGGAAGCCCAAGAAUACUGGAGUGGGUAGUCCAUCCCUUCUCCAGGGGAUCUUCUUAACCCAGGAAUUGAACCAGGGUCUCCUGCAUUGCAGGUAGAUUCUUUACCAGCUGAACUACCAGGGAAGCCCUCAUUUGUAUAGUAGUUUUCUUAUAAUCUGACCUUGUGAAAGGUGUACCAUAUUUAAGUAUUAUAUAUAGGAAGUCAUUUGAGAAAUAAUCUCAUUCUUCAAGGCAUGAUAUUGCAUCUGUACACUGAGGUCCAUUAAUUGCCAACCAAAGCAAUGUUAAUGUGUAUUAUCUGCCCCGCUUUAUGCCGUGUAUUCUGCAUAAAAAUUUUACCAUAAAUGAAUUCUUGUAAUCUGUCAAUAGUUUUAAAAAUGUUCCUUUAUGCCUACAAAUAUUUAUUGAGUGACUACUGUGUGCCAGGCACUAUAUUAGGUUCUGAAGAUACAACUCUCCUCAACAUAGAUAAAGCCCGUGCUCACAUAGAGUUUAUAUUUAGGAGCAAGAAAAAAAACAGAAUCAACAUUCCAAUACAAAUAAAAUGAUUGUAAUUGCU
Molecule: long non-coding RNA, 2440 nt
Filed under: Bos grunniens (domestic yak)
Lineage: Eukaryota; Metazoa; Chordata; Mammalia; Artiodactyla; Bovidae
Description: lncRNA (ENSBGRG00000007741.1)
Source: RNAcentral